This 107-nucleotide small nucleolar RNA is filed under the name Nicotiana sylvestris (wood tobacco). RNAcentral's name for it is "Plant small nucleolar RNA R71". It matches the Rfam family "Plant small nucleolar RNA R71". From Rfam's summary of the family: R71 is a member of the C/D box family of snoRNAs containing the C (UGAUGA) and D (CUGA) box motifs. RNAcentral also lists the same sequence under 1 other name. Lineage: Eukaryota; Viridiplantae; Streptophyta; Magnoliopsida; Solanales; Solanaceae. The record is from Rfam by way of RNAcentral.
AUUCCGUUGUGUUGACACUUUCGAACUAUAUCCUUAAACCUCUCCCAUGCUUCAAAAAUAGUUUCGGUCUCUUUCUGGUAGAAGUUAUGGAUUUCUUUUCUAAACUU